CAAUAGCGUAUAUUAAAGUUGUUGCAGUUAAAAAGCUCGUAGUUGGAUUUCUGGUGGGAGCGAUCGGUCUGGCGCUUAGCGCGAGUACUUGCAUCGUCUCCGGCCAUCCUUGGGGAGAGUCUGUCUGGCAUUAAGUUGUCGGGCAGAGGAUCCUCAUCGUUUACUGUGAAAAAAUUAGAGUGUUCAAAGCAGGCUUAUGCCGUUGAAUAUAUUAGCAUGGAAUAAUAAGAUAGGACUUUGGUACUAUUUUGUUGGUUUGCGCACCAAAGUAAUGAUUAAUAGGGACAGAUGGGGGUAUUCGUAUUCCGUUGUCAGAGGUGAAAUUCUUGGAUUUACGGAAGACGAACUACUGCGAAAGCAUUUACCAAGGAUGUUUUCAUUAA
RNAcentral lists this ribosomal RNA (383 nucleotides) under uncultured eukaryote. Its description in RNAcentral is "partial 18S ribosomal RNA". It matches the Rfam family "Eukaryotic small subunit ribosomal RNA", at positions 592 to 976 of the family's 1831-position model. The record is from RNAcentral.